RNAcentral lists this ribosomal RNA (250 nucleotides) under uncultured prokaryote. RNAcentral describes it as "partial 16S ribosomal RNA". It matches the Rfam family "Bacterial small subunit ribosomal RNA", at positions 524 to 774 of the family's 1533-position model. The record is from RNAcentral.
UACGGAGGAUGCGAGCGUUAUCCGGAUUUAUUGGGUUUAAAGGGAGCGUAGGCGGGUGCCUAAGUCAGCGGUCAAAUGCCACGGCUCAACCGUGGUUUGCCGUUGAAACUGGGUGUCUUGAGAGUACGAGAGGCGGAUGGAAUUCAGGGUGUAGCGGUGAAAUGCUUAGAUAUCCUGAAGAACUCCGAUUGCGAAGGCAGUCCGCUGGCGUACGUCUGACGCUGAUGCUCGAAGGUGCGGGAAUCAAACA